UCCGCCGGGGGCGCCGCCGCCCGUGCGCCCAGCCCUCAGUCACGCUCGCGCCGCUGGCUCCGCGCUCUUGCGGCGGCGGCGGCGGUGGUGGCGGUGAAAAGACGCUCUCCGCGGAGACAGCCCGGAGGAAGGAGGUAACAUCAUUGCGGCUCUAUAACUGAUUCAACGUGGAGGACGGAGAGAGGAAAAACCAGAGAGCUUCCAGGUUUCCACCAAGGAAUUCGGAACAGGAUGCCUUAGAUGGUGAAUACAGGAGCCACUGCCUUAGCAAGAGAGAGCUGGACACAGAGGCUUGCAUUUAGAAGAGAAACCGGUCUGGAAAAGGCUGUCCGGGAGCAAGCCCUGCCUGGCUGGCAUGUAGCAGAGCUGCAUGGGGGAGGCCUCACAGGCCCUGCCAGGCAGCCCGGGAGGCACAGGCCGCCCUUAGAGACAAGACAGAGGCUGGACACAGAGCCUGCCUGGCCGAGACCUUUCCAGUGAAUUCUGUGCCACCAGAAGGACAGGGCAGCCCCAGUGGACUCUAGGCUUUGUCCCUGCAGGAGCCUGGCCUCCCAGAAUCCGAGCCCUUCACUGGACCCAGCUCCAUGGCCUGCAGGCAGGAGGCCAUCAGUGCACGCGGGCCGGCGUGGUGUGAAUUCACCACCCUGCCUCUCUGCUCCUUCGUACUUCCCAGGAGGGGAAGUACAAUGGGCGUGUCCAGCAUCACAGGACAGAAACUCUCCGCAAAAGCCUCAGACUAGACUGAGAGAGACAUUAUUCACUUCCGAAUGCUCCAAACAGCAAAAGAGUGAGCCUGGGGACAAGAAAAGUAUUCAGGACUGUAAAUAUUUAAGGAGCAACCACUCAAUGCCAAGGAUGCUGGGCUCGGAGCCUAACCACAUUCAGGAAGAGACCAGCGUACAGCACAAAAGACUUAGGUUUUCACAUUUGUUUGAAAACAUAAGCAGUUACUAAGUAAAAAUUAAAAGACUGGCUUUGUGUGGUGGCUCAUCCCAGCACUUUGGGAGGCUAAAGCAGGAGGAUCACUUGAGGCCAGGAUUAUGAGACCAGCUUGGCCAAUAUAGCAAAACCCUGUGUCUAUAAAAAAUUUUUUUAAAUAGGCCAGGCAUGGUAGUGUGCACCUGUAACCCCAGCUUUGCGGGAGGAUCGCCUGAGCCCAGGAGGUCACGGCCGCCGUGAGUUGUUUGCAACCACUGCACUCCAGCCCGGGUGACAGAGCGAGGCCUUACCUCACGAGGCGAAAAAAAAAUUGAAAUAGGUUGCUUAGUUAGGAAAGUCAUAUUCAUGGCCCUAAAACUUUCAAAGAAACUGUCACAUAGGGCACAAGAAGGUAAUUCGGUUUACUUGUCUUCCUCUUCAGCCCGAUCACAUCAUCUUUGUAAAAUUCCCUUUCAUUCCUUUCGAAUGGGACUUGCGCUUUUCAACUGGAAUGAUGCUUUUCAUCAUACACUUAGAGAGGGAUCUUGGCUAACGUUUUUCCCAGAGAAGCUGACUCUUUUCUGGACACUGCACUCAGCAUAUUUUAGAGACACAGAUCACAGCACAUGUUUUCCAGAAGGCACACAGCUAUUGGAGGGAGAUGGGAGGAAUUUCCACGUCAUUCUUUUACACUAAUUCCUAAGAAGGAGUUUGUGAGGUUUGGAGUGUCAUAAGAAAUACAUGCAUAAAUGGCCAUAAUUACAGUAUUAGUUAAAGGCUUGAUUACUGACAGACAGAUGAAUCCAUUUCAAGUCUAAACAAUAAAAUGACAAGCUAUAAAGGUGGUUCUCAAAUUAUUCCCUGGGGGCGAUAGAAAGCUGUGUUCUAAAAGUAUUGUAUUUGCAAAAUGCCUGAAGCAAGCAAAACACGCUGCUGAGGGAAAGUCAUUUCCAGAAUUCAAAAUUUUGAAAUGGCUAUGAACCCUAGCACAUUAUUUGUAUCCUGCUAGGUUAGGAGUUUUGAAAAACUAGGUAAGUUUAAUUUCAAAUUGUAACUUCUUAGGACUGAAAGUCUCCUGAUAACUAAAAUGUGACCUGUAAUUUCAUGGGAGAAAAAGUGAUAUUUAUGGUAAAUUUGAGCCCGUUAUUGGAAAAAUCUUCUAAAUAUGUAAGUUUUUUAUGAGAGAAAGAUUUGAAGGCAAAAAAAUGUUUCCAACUAGUGGAUCAUGAAACAUAAAGUGACAGUUUAUAACAUUUUAAGAAUAAUAACCAACCUCCGUGAAGGGGAAAAAUAUUCAUGGAGUACUUUUUCUGACCGUGAGUCAUGCUUAGAAUUUUCUCACCCAACCAAAUAUAUAUAUUCACCAUCUACCUUUACAAUUCACAUUUAAAAUGUUAAUACAGACAAGGUGCAGUGGCUCAUGCCUGUAAUCUCAGCACUUUGGGAGGCUGAGACAGGAGGAUCACUUGAGUUCAGGAGUUCAAGACCAGCCUGGGCAACAUAGUGAGAACUCGUCUCUACAAAAUAAAAAUCAAAAAAUUAGCCAGAUGUGGUGGCACAUACUGGUAGUUCCAGCUACUCCAGAGGCUGAGGGGGGAGACUGCUUGAGGAGUUUGAGACCGCAGUGAACUAUGAUCACGCUGCUGUUCUCCAGCCUGGGCAACAGAGCGAGACCUUGUCUCCAGAGAGGGGAAGAAAACUUUAAUACACUUUACAUUUAUUUUGUGCAAGACGUAAGAUAAGAAAUAUGUUUUUUAAUGAUAAUGCAUUCCAAUAUACUAUUUCUCCGGUUCCUGAGAUUAUGAUAUCACAAACUCUUGCGGAAACUUUAAUAUGUUUCUGAAGUUUCUGUUGAGUUCCAGUGAUUGGUCUAUUUACUCCUUGACCAGCAACAUACUGGUCAUUACGUUGAUUAUUUGAUUAUUAGAUUGUAAAUUUAUAUGUUUAAUAUCUAGUAAGAGUGUACUCCUCCUCCAAAAUUAAAUGUUAUUUUACCAAAAAAAAAAAAAUCUUGUAUAUUCAAACAAAUGUAUUGUUCUAGAUAAAUCAGGAUAAUUUUGGUAAGUUCAAAAACAAAACCCCAGUGGAGUUCUAUAAAUGUAAAAGUAUUAUAUUACAUUUUUAGAUUCUACAAAUGGAUUCUAUCAACUUGUGUUCCGUAUAUGUGAGAAUUAAUACAGGAAGUCCUAGCCAGAGCAAUCAGGAAAAAUAAAGAAAAAAAGGACAUUCAAAUUGGAAAGGAGGAAGUCAAAACUAUCUGUUUAUUGAUGAUAUAAUUCUCUACCUAGAAAACCCUAAAGACUCCUAGAUCUCAUAAAUAGAUUCAGUAAACUCUCAGGUUAUAAAAGCAAUGUAUACAAAUCCAGAGCAAUGCUAUCCACCAACAAUGACCAAGCUGAGAAUAAAAUAAAAAACCCAGUCCCUUUUACAAUAAAUACAAAAUAGCUAGGAAUAUACUCAAAGAGGUGAAAUAUGUCUACAAGAAGGACUACAACAUACUGGUGAGGGAAGUAAUAGAUAAUACAAGCAGUAGAAUGUUGCAUGCUCACAGAGUACGGGAGUCAAUACUGUGAAAAUGGCCAUACUGCCUAAAGCAAUCUACAGAUUCAGUGCAAUUCCUACCAACACCAUUUUUUACAGAAUUAGAAAAACAAUCCUAAAAUUUAUAUGAAACUACAAAAAGAGCCUGAAUAUCUAAAACAAUACUAACUGAAAAGAACAACUUUGGAGGCAUCACAUUACCUGACUUCAAAUUAUAUGACAAGGGUUAUAGUAACCAAAACAGCAUGUUACUAGUAUAAAAGUAGAUACAUAGACCCAUGGAACAGAAUAAAGACCCAUAAAUAAAGCCAAAUACUUGCAAGCAAUUAUCUUUGACAAAGCACACAAAACAUAAACUGUGGAAAGGACACCCUAUUCAAUAAAUGAUGCUGGGAAAAUCAGCCACAUUCACAAGAAUGAAACUGGAUCUCUAUCUCUUACCAUAUACGAAAAUUAACUCUAAAUGGAUUGAAGACUUGAAUCUCAGACAUGAAACCAUAAAAAUAUUCCAGGAGAAAACCUAGAAAAAAACUCUUCUGCACAUUGGCCUAAGCAAAGAAUUGAAGACUAAGACAUCAAAAGCAAAGUAACAGAAACCAAAAUAAAUAAAUGGGAUUUGAUGAAACUAAAGAGCAUCUCCACAACAAAAGAAAUCAUCAACAGAGUAAGCAGACAGCAUACAUAAUGGGAGAAAUAUUUGCGAAGUAUGCAUCUGACAAGGAACUCAUAUUUACACUCUAUAAGAAACUCAAACAAAUCAUCAAAAAAAAUCCCAUUAAAAAGUGAACAAAUGCCAUGAAUGGACAAUUCUCAAGACAUACAUGCAACCAAUAAAUAUAGAAAAAAGUGCUCAACAUCACUAAUCAUCAGGGAAUUGCAAAUUAAAACUACAGUGAGAUACUACCUUACCCCAACCAGAAUGGCCAUUAUUAAAAAGUAAAAAACUGCACUUAGGUAUGUUUUUGUUUAACUUGUGGACAAAAGUCUUAUGAAUAGGUGUAAAAAAUAAAUCCUCUCUUGCAACCCAGAACUCAUUGUUCAGUAUGAGUUUUGAUACAUGUAAGAAGGGAUAUUAUGAUAACUUAGACAGUUAACUGAUGGGAGUAUUGAUAGCUAUAAAGGUGGCUUCCUGGCUGGGUGCAACGGCUCAAGCUUUCAAUCCCCACACUGAGGUGGGAAUAUUGCUUGAAGUCAGGAGUUCAAGACCAGCCUGGGCAAGAAAGUAAUAAACACCUCAUCUCCACGAAAAUUUAAAAAUUAACUGGGUAUUGGGGCAUGUGCCUAUACUUGCAGCUAUUCAGGAAAGGGAGGCUGAGGCAAAAGGAUUGAGCCCAGGAGUUGGAGGCUGCACUGAGCUUUGAUGGCACCACUGUACUCCAGCCUGGGAAACAAAGACAGACUUUGUCUCUUAAUUUCAAAAGAUUGAUUCUAGGACUGUAGAAUGGUUAAAACAGCAUAGGAUAUGAGAGAAAUCCUCAGCAGUAUUAAUUUUGCAUUCCAAUUUCAUGUUGACUUCAUAUAAGAUGGCUUUUUGUUUUAAAGACUUUUAUCUUGAGAACCUGAUGACUGGAGUUAAAGGUAUUGGCGUAUUUUCAUACAUCUGUACUAUUCUUGGGUGUGAUCGCUUAGGAAUGGAUAUGAUUUGAACUCAUUCAUGUUAAGAGAGGGUGUCAAAUUGAGAACCAGGCGGAUCCACCACCUACAGUAAAAAGGACCCUAAAAUAAAUUGGUUGAAGAAAUCAGAUCCCAAAGAUUCUUGGUGAAUUUUGAAGUCUUCAUCAGUGUAUCCAUAUUAAAAGGAGGUGACAGAAGCCAAAAUAAAAGAAUUAUGGGCUGACAGGACAACUGGAUUAAAAUAAGCAUCAGUUUCAUUAAAAAGGGCUAACUUGAAGAUAAAUCUUUUCACUCCAGCUCUUUAGAGGAUCUAAUGUGACCUUGAUGGCCAGUGGAAGAAAUCACAACAUGGAAUUCCUUAAAUAAAACUUUAUCGACUUUCAAAAAUAAAAUAAAAAGUCAAAAAACAAUAGAUGUUGGCAUGGAUGUGAUGAAAAGUGAACAUUCAUACAUUGUUAGUGGGGGUGUAAAUUAACACAGUCUCUAUGGAAAACAGCUUGGAGAUUUCUCAGAGAACUGAAAGUAAAUCUACCGUUCAACCCAGCAGUCCCUCUACUGUGUAUCACCCAAAGGAAAAGAAGUCAUUAAAUCAAGACAGUUGGACGUGUAUGUUUAUCAAAGCACAGUUCACAAUUGGAAAGGUAUGGUGUGUGUGUGUGUGUGUGUGUGUGUUUGUGUGUGUGUAUACACCAUGUAAUACUAUUCAGCCAUAAAAGAAUGAAAUGUCUUUUUCAGCAACUUUUACUGAACUAUAGUCCAUUAUCCAAAGUGAAGUAACUGGUGAGUGGAAUGAAAAACCAAACAUUGCCUGUUCUCACUUAUAAGUGGAAGCUGAGCUAUGGGUAUGCAAAGGCAUAUAGAGUAGUGUAGUGGACACUGAAGACUCAGAAGGGGGGAGGAUGGGUGAACGUGAGGGAUAAAUAACUACUUAUAAGGUGCAACAUUCACUACUUGGGUGAUGGGUACAAUAAAAUCUCAGACUUCACCACUAUGCAGUUCAUCCGCGUAACCAAAAACUGCUUGGACUCCUAAAGCUAUUGAAUUAAAAAAUUAAAGUUAAAAUUAAAAAAUAAAAUUCAAAAAAUAAAUAGAUGCAGGUUUGAUAUUGAUAAUAUGUAAAUAGCUUUAAUAAAUUAAAAUAUUAUAAACAACCCAUUAGAAAGGAAUAUGUAAAUAAAUCAUGGCAUAUUCAUACUAUGAAGUACUACGUAGGAGUUAAAAAUGAGAUAUGACUAUACAACCAUAGAAACAACUCCUAAAUGUGCUCUUGAAUGGAAAGCAACCUGGGGAAUAAUAUACUCAGUGUGAAUCUAUUUUUAUGAAAGCUGUAUGUUUGUGUUUAGAUGUCAUGUACAACUAAAAGUGCGUGAAGUUGCCAAUGAUUGUGAGCAUAAGAGAGGCUUUAAAAUCAUAUUUUGUUAUGCAAAUUAAUGGUUCUAUAAUUUAAAAAAAAGAAUUAAUACAAGUCUCCAAUCCAGAAAAGUGCUGUCUUACUAAAAAAUGUUAUGUCUUGAAGUAAAGUGUUAAUUGCUUUGCAGUGACUCUGCACAUUUUUUAAGUUUAUUACUAGUAUUUAUAUAUUUUUAAAUGAAAAUAUAUAGUUUUUUUUUAGCUUUUCAAGUUAUUGCUGCCAUGUUGGGAAAAUAUUGAUUUCUGUGUCUUGGAUUGCUAAUCAAUCAUCCAAUUAGGGUUUGUUAUCAAUUAAAGUAGUGUUAAUCAAUUGAUUCCCUUGGAUUUUUCAGAUAGACAAUCAAAUCAUCUGUAAAGACAGAUGAUGUCGUCUCCUAGUUUGCAGUAUGCAGCUUUGUAUUUUUCUCAUCUUAUUGCAUUGUCUAAAAUUAUUAGACAAUGCAAAUGCAAAUCAAUGAUGAACCAUAUGAGUAAUAGGCAUUUUCUCUUGUUCUUGAUUUUAAUAAAAAUAACUAUUCGUAAAAUUGUUAAUUUUUUUUAGUUUCUGGUUCCAGUGGGUUAUUAGGUUAUUAAGAAAAUGAUAUUCUAACCUUAGUUCUAGCAGCUUUUUAAAAUUCAGAAAGUAUUCUCAAAUACCUUUUUUAUAUUUUUCAAAACUUCCUAUAGUCUUUCUUGACCUUUUAUUCAUUCAAGAAUUAUAGAGAAGCUUUAUUUAUGUUAAAUCGCAUUCACAUUCAAGCAACAGAAUCUACUUAGGCAUGCUAUAUUAUCACUAGACUAUACUGCCAGACAAUAUACACUAAUAAUUUAUUAGAGGUUUCACUUCUGUGAUACUCAUGUAGUUUAAAUCGUAGCAUUUGUUUCUUAAAUAUAUCAUGAUGAUUAUUUGUGAG
This is a non-coding RNA of Callithrix jacchus (white-tufted-ear marmoset), 7376 nucleotides long. NCBI's taxonomy places the organism in Eukaryota, Metazoa, Chordata, Mammalia, Primates, Cebidae. The record is from RefSeq and is a predicted model, not a curated record.